This 237-nucleotide unclassified non-coding RNA is filed under the name Glomus sp. RNAcentral describes it as "partial contains 5.8S ribosomal RNA and internal transcribed spacer 2". The stretch from base 1 to 65 matches the Rfam family "5.8S ribosomal RNA", at positions 84 to 154 of the family's 154-position model. Lineage: Eukaryota; Fungi; Glomeromycota; Glomeromycetes; Glomerales; Glomeraceae. The record is from RNAcentral.
GUGAAUCAUCAAAUUUUUGAACGCAAAUUGCACUCUCCUCGGAGAGUAUGCCUGUUUGAGGGUCAGCCUAUAAAAAUCGACAUCGUUGCUGUUUCGCGGUGGCGCUCGUCGGAAAUUGGGUCAUCUUAAAUCCUUUGGUUUAAGCGGCUUAAAAUUUUCUUUUUGUUCCAUGAACGGUUCUAAGAUCUUUUUCCUUACACGGUUUAGGUAUCGAUUUUUACUAGACGUUACCAUCAU